This 519-nucleotide ribosomal RNA is filed under the name uncultured bacterium. RNAcentral describes it as "bacterial SSU rRNA". It matches the Rfam family "Bacterial small subunit ribosomal RNA", at positions 98 to 603 of the family's 1533-position model. The record is from RNAcentral.
GCGGACGAGUGAGUAACACGUAGGCAACCUGCCUGUAAGACUGGGAUAACUACCGGAAACGGUAGCUAAGACCGGAUAAGUGAUUCUCUUGCAUGAGAGGAUCAAGAAACACGGGGCAACCUGUGGCUUACAGAUGGGCCUGCGGCGCAUUAGCUAGCUGGUGGGGUAACGGCUCACCAAGGCGACGAUGCGUAGCCGACCUGAGAGGGUGAUCGGCCACACUGGGACUGAGACACGGCCCAGACUCCUACGGGAGGCAGCAGUAGGGAAUCUUCCGCAAUGGACGCAAGUCUGACGGAGCAACGCCGCGUGAGUGAUGAAGGUUUUCGGAUCGUAAAGCUCUGUUGUCAGGGAAGAACGUCGCGGAGAGUAACUGCUCUGCGAAUGACGGUACCUGAGAAGAAAGCCCCGGCUAACUACGUGUCAGCAGCCGCGGUAAUACGUAGGGGGCAAGCGUUGUCCAGAAUUAUUGGGCGUAAAGCGCGCGCAGGCGGCCGCUUAAGUCUGGUGUUUAAGCCC